UACAGAGGGGGCAAGCGUUGUUCGGAAUUACUGGGCGUAAAGGGCGCGUAGGCGGCCUGCUAAGUCGAACGUGAAAUCCCUGGGCUCAACCCAGGAACUGCGUCCGAUACUGGUUGGCUUGAAUCCGGGAGAGGGAUGUGGAAUUCCAGGUGUAGCGGUGAAAUGCGUAGAUAUCUGGAGGAACACCGGUGGCGAAGGCGGCAUCCUGGACCGGUAUUGACGCUGAGGAGCGAAAGCCAGGGGAGCAAAGCGGG
RNAcentral lists this ribosomal RNA (254 nucleotides) under uncultured bacterium. RNAcentral describes it as "partial 16S ribosomal RNA". It matches the Rfam family "Bacterial small subunit ribosomal RNA", at positions 524 to 777 of the family's 1533-position model. The record is from RNAcentral.